AACAAUUGGUCAAUAAUGGAGUUAUGGCCACUUUUUACAUAAAAAUACAUGUUUAUAAUAUUGGUAUUUUAACUGCUUUUUGGAUUUGAUUGAACCUUUAUUUAAGUGUAUCAUGUAUGAAUCUAAAGCAGUAGUUGUUUACAGAAUUUGGCGUUGCAAGCAUGUGGCGUGUGGUAUCAAUUUAACAAAUGUGCUUGUUUGUUUAUAUUUUUAUUAGGGAUGGCAACGAAUACCGAUUUCGGUAUUCGAAUAUUUGGUCAUCCUUCCGAACGAAUAUUCGGAUAUUCGGUCAACAUCUGUUGAAAAAAAGUCAACUUUGUUUACCGUACCAUUACUCCAUGAAUUCUACUUUACAAAACAAAAAUAAAUUGUACUUAUUUACAGUAUAACAUUAUUAGGGGCGAAGAUUUCCGACCAGAGUUCCGACAAAUUGGGGAACUGCGCAGCCUGACAGAACUGAUGUACCCUUGCUUGCAGUUACUGCUACAGAAACAGAGAAGGUACAGCAGAAUAUACACCAAGGUCUGCUGUUGUCCGACGAUGCGUUAUCCGUCGGCGUAUUACCCGACAGACCGAAUAUUCGACUGGCGGUUAGAAAUCGACUGAUCACGCUGAGGAAGAGCUGGUGUGGUUGCUGCAACAGUUUCAGACAACACCCACACUGGUCAAGACUAUAAUAUUCUGCAAGUCGUACAGGUGUGUAUAUCAAGUGUGGUCAUGGUUGGUUAUUCAACUCGGUGACACGUCUUACGACGGGGAGCACCGUAGCUACAACCGCGUUGUUGAAAUAUUUACAUCUUCAACAACGGACGCCACGAAGGAGAGGAUUUCUAAAUGAUUUCCGGGCCGGAAGAGUUAGCGUUGUUGUGGCAACAGUCGCCUUUGGGCUUGGAAUCGACAUUCCGGACGUGUGGCUCGUGGUCCACUGGGGCGCACCGCGCUCUAUCCUGUCUUACUGGCAGAGCCGGUAGCGAUGGAGAUCCCGCUCUUGCUCUAGUUUUCGCGUACCCGCGGUCCAUAACGGAUUGCCAUGACGCUAUGAAGACCAUGGUGAAUGGGACGGAAUGCGUCAGACGUACCGUUCUGAAGGAGCUAAGAACUAAAGACAUGAAUCCUAUUCCUGCCCAAGGCGACGGUUGUCAAGAUGACACAUGUGAAGUGUGUGUUUGCCAGUUGUGUAUUUGUUGUAACAGAUGCUCACGAAGCUGUACAUGUUUUGGAGCGUGUCCGGACAAACUAUUAUGAAGUUUUCUUUAUGUUGAUUGUUUUGUGACCAUUAUCAUGGGUUUAGCAUUAUUUCGAUUGAUUUUUUCUAGUAAAUGUAUGUCUAUAACUAACACUUACACUGAAUAGUACUAGUAGUGCUUAUUUCACUGUUUACUGGCAGGUAGUAACAUUUGUGCAUGACAUUGUUGAUAUUUAUAAUUAUAAUUGCCAAAGUACUUUGUCAUUGGGGAUACACAGCGUUGGGACAAGAACCAAUUAAUAUGGUAGCAUAUUUUUCAUUUGACGUGUUAGACUUGUUUCAAUGUUCAAUGUAGAUGUAUUCAUUUUAACAUGCUAUUUUCAUUGAUGAAGUAAAGUUUUCUAAUGUU
Molecule: long non-coding RNA, 1595 nt
Organism: Dreissena polymorpha
Lineage: Eukaryota; Metazoa; Mollusca; Bivalvia; Myida; Dreissenidae
Exons: 4
Source: RefSeq, a predicted model, not a curated record